UACGUAGGGGGCAAGCGUUGUCCGGAUUUAUUGGGCGUAAAGAGCUCGUAGGCGGCUUGUCGCGUCGACUGUGAAAACCCGAGGCUCAACUUCGGGCUUGCAGUCGAUACGGGCAGGCUAGAGUUCGGUAGGGGAGACUGGAAUUCCUGGUGUAGCGGUGAAAUGCGCAGAUAUCAGGAGGAACACCGAUGGCGAAGGCAGGUCUCUGGGCCGAUACUGACGCUGAGGAGCGAAAGCGUGGGGAGCGAACAGG
RNAcentral lists this ribosomal RNA (253 nucleotides) under uncultured bacterium. RNAcentral describes it as "partial 16S ribosomal RNA". It matches the Rfam family "Bacterial small subunit ribosomal RNA", at positions 524 to 776 of the family's 1533-position model. The record is from RNAcentral.